CCUACGGGUGCAGCAGUGAGGAAUAUUGGUCAAUGGGCGGAAGCCUGAACCAGCCAAGUAGCGUUCAGGAUGACGGCCCUACGGGUUGUAAACUGCUUUUAUCCGGGAAUAACGCUCCUUCCGUUUAGGGCUUUGCAUGUACCGUAUGAAUAAGGACCGGCUAAUUCCGUUCCAGCAGCCGCGGUAAGACGGGAGGUCCGGGCGUUAUCCGGAUUUUUUGGGUUUAAAGGGGGCGUCGGCCGCAUGUCCAGCGUGCUGUGAAAUGUCCGGGCUCAACCCGGGCCUUGCAGCGAGAACUGGCGUGCUUGAGUCCGCGGAAAGUAGGCGGAAUUCGUGGUGUAGCGGUGAAAUGCUUAGAUAUGACGAAGAACCCCGAUUGCGAAGGCAGCUUGCUGCAGCGGAACUGACGCUGAUGCGCGAAAGCGCGGGUAUCGAACAGGAUUAGAUACCCGUGUAGUC
This 459-nucleotide ribosomal RNA is filed under the name uncultured bacterium. RNAcentral's name for it is "partial 16S ribosomal RNA". It matches the Rfam family "Bacterial small subunit ribosomal RNA", at positions 338 to 795 of the family's 1533-position model. The record is from RNAcentral.